GUUCCAAAACCAAGGUUUAUUCAGCUGUGUAGCUGUAGAAACUCAUGCUAUCCGGGAGAAAUCUGAUCUGAGCCCAAGAACAAAAGGCAGAUAAUGAGCAUGUGAGCAGCUGUACAUUUCGAUUCCCAAAAGUCUCUUUGAGGAUAAAGAACUAGUUUUUAUAACAUAUUUCAGCCAACAUCAUGCAAUAUCUGUGAUUGGACUGGUUUCUCUGGCACCAACAAGCCAAAUUAUGGGUUUGUAUCACUAUCUUUUCCAUCAAUAAAUAUUUCUUUGAUUCAAUUCUAUUGGAAGCACUGCAUUUGCUUAUAACACCCAUCAUUCAUUAAGUGCCUGCUGUGAGCUGGCCACUGCACAUAGUUUUCAAAACUUUUCAUUUUAAAGUAAUUUUAGAUUUGCAAAAGAGUUGCAAGAUAGUAGAGAGUCUCUGUAUGCCUUUCACCCAGCUUCCCCUAAUGUUUAUACCUUAUGUAACUGUGGUACAAUAUUCUAAACUAAGAAAUUAAUGUUGGUAAAAUACUAUUCAAUAAAUUAGAAGGCAUAUUUUGAUUUCUUUCUUUUUAAGAUUUUAUUUGUUCAUGAGAGACACACAGAGAGAGGCAGAGACAUAGGCAGAGGGAGAAGCAGGCUCCCUGCUAGGAGCCUGAUGUGGGACUUGAUCCCAGGAUCUGGGAUCAUGACCUAAGCCAAAGGCAGAUGCUCAACCACUGAGCCACUCAGAUGCCCCAUAUUUUGUUUCUUUAGUGUUUCUACUAAUGGUUUUGUUUCUUCCUCUCCUGUUACAUGAUCUGAUCCAGGAUCCUGCACAGCAUUUCUUUGUUAUGUCUCCUCAGUAUCUUCCCAUCUCUGAUGGUUCCUCAGGUUUUGUCUCUCAUGAUUUGGUAUUUGUUUAGAGUACUUGGCAGGUAUGUUGUAGAAUGCCCUUCAGUGCUUGAGUUUGAUGUUUUUCAUUUGAUUAUGCUGAGCUUGUGGAUUUGGGGAAAGAAUAUCACAGGUCAUAUGCCCUUCUCAUUUGGAAGUACACGAUAUAGAUGUGUUUUAUCAUAGGUGACGUCAAUCUUGAUCACCUGGCUAAGGUGGAAUCUACCAGGUUUCUGCAAAAUAGAGUUACUAUUUUUCCCUUUCCGUACACAUAGUGUUACAGGAUAGCAGGGUUCUUGUCUCACAGAGUUGAAGAACGAAUCUCAUGGACACAAAAGGGUGAAGUGAGUUUAUUCAGUGAAGGUGAGAACAGAAAGGAAAGAAAAAAGCUCUCUAGAGUGAAGAGGGGUCCUGAAUGGGUUGCCACUGUGGCUUUCGCUGGCAGUCUUUUAUUGAGAACUGACUAGAGGACUUAAAUCUGAGAGCACUACGUUUACCUUUACUUUGAAGUUUGAUAAUUUUCAGUGGUCCAGCUGUAGCUCUUAGAGAGAUAUCUUGUCUCUGAAAAGGUAGUCUCAUUGUCUCUUAUAUUCUCUUAUCUCUGGUUUUGUAUGCCUUAGCAUUUCCCACACCUGGGAUUUCUGUGCGUCUGAACACAUAACCCCUGCAUGAGCCUAGUCAUUAGCCCCCUACCUAUCUCUCCCUACCUAGCCCCAUCUGUCCCUUACUCACUAGGAUACAUAUUUUUUAUUUUUUAAAAUAUUUUAUUUAUUCAUGAGAGACACACACAGAGAGAGAGGCAGAGACACAGGCAGAGGGAGAAGCAGGCUCCAUGCAGGGAGCCCAAUGUGGGAUUCGAUCUCAGAACUCUGGGAUCAUGUCCUGAGCCAAAGGCAGACACUCAACUACUGAGCCACCUAGGUGUCCCCUAUUUUUUUUUUCUUCAGUAGGCUCCACACUGGACACUUGAACUCAUGACCCAGAGAUCAAGAACUGAACUGAGAUCAAGAGUUGGACACUUAAUUGACUGAGCCAUCCAGGCGCUCCCACAUAGAAUAGUUUAAAUCUGUAUUAUCACCUUGUGGGUUUGAUUAAUCCUAUUUUACAUGAGGAAACUUGAGAUAUCUGCUAUAAUUUUACAGCGAGGUCAUGGAAAGCUCACAAAAUUUUAGAAAUUAUCUCACAAAUGAGAAAACCAAGGCCUGGAGAGAUUAAAUGACAUGGCCAAGAUCCCUCAGUCAGUUUGUGGAGAACCAAACUAGACCCCAGGUUUUCUGAUUUCC
This 2144-nucleotide long non-coding RNA is filed under the name Canis lupus familiaris (dog). Its description in RNAcentral is "lncRNA (ENSCAFG00000052155.1, ENSCAFG00845018836.1)". The record is from RNAcentral. Lineage: Eukaryota; Metazoa; Chordata; Mammalia; Carnivora; Canidae.